Molecule: ribosomal RNA, 303 nt
Filed under: uncultured bacterium
Lineage: Bacteria
Description: partial 16S ribosomal RNA
Rfam family: Bacterial small subunit ribosomal RNA
Source: RNAcentral
AGCAGUCGCCGCGGUAAUACGUAGGGUGCAAGCGUUAAUCGGAAUUACUGGGCGUAAAGCGUGCGCAGACGGUUCGUUAAGACAGAUGUGAAAUCCCCGGGCUUAACCUGGGAACUGCAUUUGUGACUGGCGGGCUAGAGUAUGGCAGAGGGGGGUAGAAUUCCACGUGUAGCAGUGAAAUGCGUAGAGAUGUGGAGGAAUACCGAUGGCGAAGGCAGCCCCCUGGGCCAAUACUGACGCUCAUGCACGAAAGCGAGGGGAGCAAACAGGAUUAGAUACCCCAGUAGUCCCUGUCUCUUAUAC